This 546-nucleotide ribosomal RNA is filed under the name uncultured bacterium. RNAcentral describes it as "bacterial SSU rRNA". It matches the Rfam family "Bacterial small subunit ribosomal RNA", at positions 102 to 683 of the family's 1533-position model. The record is from RNAcentral.
ACGGGUGAGUAACGCGUGGGAAUCUACCCAUCUCUACGGAAUAACGCAUGGAAACGUGUGCUAAUACCGUAUACGUCCUUCGGGAGAAAGAUUUAUCGGAGAUGGAUGAGCCCGCGUUGGAUUAGCUAGUUGGUGGGGUAAAGGCCUACCAAGGCGACGAUCCUUAGCUGGUCUGAGAGGAUGAUCAGCCACACUGGGACUGAGACACGGCCCAGACUCCUACGGGAGGCAGCAGUGGGGAAUAUUGGACAAUGGGCGCAAGCCUGAUCCAGCCAUGCCGCGUGAGUGAUGAAGGCCCUAGGGUUGUAAAGCUCUUUCACCGGUGAAGAUAAUGACGGUAACCGGAGAAGAAGCCCCGGCUAACUUCGUGCCAGCAGCCGCGGUAAUACGAAGGGGGCUAGCGUUGUUCGGAUUUACUGGGCGUAAAGCGCACGUAGGCGGACUAUUAAGUCAGGGGUGAAAUCCCGGGGCUCAACCCCGGAACUGCCUUUGAUACUGGUAGUCUUGAGUUCGAGAGAGGUGAGUGGAAUUCCGAGUGUAGAGGUG